This 494-nucleotide ribosomal RNA is filed under the name uncultured bacterium. Its description in RNAcentral is "partial 16S ribosomal RNA". It matches the Rfam family "Bacterial small subunit ribosomal RNA", at positions 31 to 507 of the family's 1533-position model. The record is from RNAcentral.
GAACGCUGGCGGCGUGCCUAAUACAUGCAAGUCGAGCGAACAGAUAAGGAGCUUGCUCCUUUGACGUUAGCGGCGGACGGGUGAGUAACACGUGGGUAACCUACCUAUAAGACUGGGAUAACUUCGGGAAACCGGAGCUAAUACCGGAUAAUAUUUCGAACCGCAUGGUUCGAUAGUGAAAGAUGGUUUUGCUAUCACUUAUAGAUGGACCCGCGCCGUAUUAGCUAGUUGGUAAGGUAACGGCUUACCAAGGCGACGAUACGUAGCCGACCUGAGAGGGUGAUCGGCCACACUGGAACUGAGACACGGUCCAGACUCCUACGGGAGGCAGCAGUAGGGAAUCUUCCGCAAUGGGCGAAAGCCUGACGGAGCAACGCCGCGUGAGUGAUGAAGGUCUUCGGAUCGUAAAACUCUGUUAUUAGGGAAGAACAUACGUGUAAGUAACUGUGCACGUCUUGACGGUACCUAAUCAGAAAGCCACGGCUAACUACGUG